AAUUUCUUUCUUCCAACUCUGAAUAACAAAUCUGAAAACUCAAAAUAAAAACCUCAAAAACUCAACUCGUUCUCUCUUCUCAUAUCUUCAUCGCCGAACAGAGCUCAAUUCUCUCUCUCACUCUGAAAAAAUUAGGGCUUUGAAGCUUUGCACAGUACUGAUGGUGCUCUGCUUCAUCUCCGAUUCAAAUGACAAUCCCGACGAAUCCUUCCUGGAGAUUCUCCACAAUUGUUCAAUUCCUUGGGCAAUUGCAACACAUACCUCAGUUUCGGUGUUAGUUUCAGUUUAAUUUGCGGUUCCGAAUUGAAUUGAAGAUGCUCUAGUGGUUUCUGCGAUGGCGCCUAGCAAAACCGUUCAGGGCACCACUGCUCGCCACUAAUGGAAAGUCGACAAUCGAGGAUGAAGAAGACCUUAUCAACAAGCAUAAGCCUUCGAUCGUAUUCAAUUUUCGUUCACAAUUUUCAAUUCUCAAUAUUGUUCGCUUCGAUUUAGUUUACCUAUCCUAAUACUCAUGGUCUCAAUCUCGAUUGCUCUCGGUGUUUAAUUUCUGAUGAAUUUGCUUCAUAUUACUUUGAAAAUUUCCAGAAUCUAUGAGUAUUGCUUCACUCAGUUAACCUAAUUUCGAUUUUGUGCGCUGAUGUACAUUUAGAUGUAAUUUUUGUGUGAAUUUCACUAUCAGCAAAUGAGGAAAUAUACUAUGUAAUCGGAAUUCAAUUUUUGCAGCAUUUAUAUUGAUAUGCUUAGGACGUAGGGAUCGACACCUACAAUGGCUUGAUGAUGCAUAUGUGAAACUGUUGAGAAGAUAGUGGUCAGUGGUAGACUAUUGCAUGAUUUUCAAGUAUAUUGCAAUCUUCAAGUUGAAUUAGGGUUUUGAGUUGUUUUAGAGUUUUAAUUAUUCAUUUGCAACGAUGGACUUGAAUAUAGCUGAGGUUAUGUGAAGCUGGACUGAUCACAGUACAAAGUUAAUGGGGCUUGUGGUGUUUAGAAUUGGGUAUAUUGGCCUUAUAUAUUAUCACUAUAUGAAGCUUAGAAUUUGUUUUAUUCGGAAUCAUGUUAAAGAAAAUAAUCAGAUAUGGACCUUAACCUUUUCUUGUUGUGUGGUUUCAGAUAAAGUGAGAUUAGGAAUGAUGCAUAUAUAGUGAAAAUAUAGUAUCAUCAGUCCAUGUAAUUUUGUCUGCAUGUGGUAAUGGCCUCACUCUUGUUUAUACUAUGCACCAGUUCUUGUUUUCAUUAAGGUAGAAUUGUUAAAUGUGUUUUUAUAUGCUUGUUUCAUUAAGAUGUAAAUAUGUUGUAUUUAAUAGAUUGAAUUUAUUUGUCCAUAUGCAGUUCCUUGCAUGAGGAUAACUCUUAAAUGUCUUGCUUGUAAGAAUGGAGACAUUGAUGAAGCAUGUUCAUUUCUCUGGUCAAGAGGGGAGGACUGAAAUUAAGAAAAUUGCUGCAAGGUUUAAGGAGAAGGUGUAUUGUGCUGGCAAAAGUCAGCAUAGUUGUAUAUAAUGGACAUGGGAUGGAAGAGUUUGUACUGAAGAUGACAUCAGCUUAUAUUAGUCAGCAUGAUCUCCACAUAGGGGAUAUGACAGUGAGAGCAAAGGAGUUGCUGACUUUCUUCAAGAAGUGACAUCACCAUUUCUGAGUAUCCGAAAAAGCAAGAAAUAUUUGCUCGGAUAUCUGGAUAUUGUGUGCAAACCGAUAUACACUCUCCUCAUGUUACAAUAUACGAGUCUUUGGUGUAUUCCACAUGACUCCAGUUGCCCCUUGAUGUUCACUCUGCAACUAGAAAGAAGUUAUGGAGCUUGUGGAACUGACAUCGAUAAGGGAGUCACUUGUGGGAUUUCCAGGAGUGAAUGGUUUCUCUACUAAGCAGCGAAAAAGGCUAACUAUUGUUGUAGAACUUGUUGCCAACCCUUCCAUAAUACUUAUGGAUGAGCCAACCUCUGGCCUUAAUGCCAAGGCAGCAUCUAUUGUAAUAAGAACAGUGAGAAAUACAGUGGACACAGGGCGAACUAUAGUCAACACAAUCCACCAGCCAAGCAUCGACAUUUUUAUGCUUUCAAUGAGGGACAACAAAGAUAAACAACCUGAGUAUAAACAUUGGCUCUUUGAAGGUGGAAACUUGGAGAAAAGGGGACUUCAAAAGAAGUCACUGAUGAUGUACCACUAGACCAAGUCGAUCGUCGGGGGUAAAACUUAUAUUUUAGGUUCAUUACUUUGGAAUGUAGAUUCAUAUAGAUCGCUUAGGACCAAAUAUUUAGGUAUGUAUCCUUACAUUUAAAAGGAUUAAUUCAUUGGAGUGGAAUAUUAACUUUCAAGAAAGUUUCCAUU
Molecule: long non-coding RNA, 2319 nt
Organism: Argentina anserina (silverweed cinquefoil)
Lineage: Eukaryota; Viridiplantae; Streptophyta; Magnoliopsida; Rosales; Rosaceae
Exons: 5
Source: RefSeq, a predicted model, not a curated record